Molecule: ribosomal RNA, 497 nt
Filed under: uncultured bacterium
Lineage: Bacteria
Description: partial 16S ribosomal RNA
Rfam family: Bacterial small subunit ribosomal RNA
Source: RNAcentral
GAUGAGCGCUGGCGGCGUGCCUAAUACAUGCAAGUCGAGCGAACAGACGAGGAGCUUGCUCCUCCGACGUUAGCGGCGGACGGGUGAGUAACACGUGGAUAACCUACCUAUAAGACUGGGAUAACUUCGGGAAACCGGAGCUAAUACCGGAUAACAUGUUGAACCGCAUGGUUCAACAGUGAAAGACGGUCUUGCUGUCACUUAUAGAUGGAUCCGCGCCGCAUUAGCUAGUUGGUAAGGUAACGGCUUACCAAGGCAACGAUGCGUAGCCGACCUGAGAGGGUGAUCGGCCACACUGGAACUGAGACACGGUCCAGACUCCUACGGGAGGCAGCAGUAGGGAAUCUUCCGCAAUGGGCGAAAGCCUGACGGAGCAACGCCGCGUGAGUGAAGAAGGUCUUCGGAUCGUAAAACUCUGUUAUUAGGGAAGAACAAAUGUGUAAGUAACUAUGCACGUCUUGACGGUACCUAAUCAGAAAGCCACGGCUAACUACGUG